GUGAGUAACCUGCCCUCUUCUUUGGGAUAACGCCCGGAAACGGGUGCUAAUACUGGAUAUUCACUGAUCUUCGCAUGGGGGUUGGUGGAAAGGUUUUUCUGGUGGGGGAUGGGCUCGCGGCCUAUCAGCUUGUUGGUGGGGUGAUGGCCUACCAAGGCUUUGACGGGUAGCCGGCCUGAGAGGGUGACCGGUCACAUUGGGACUGAGAUACGGCCCAGACUCCUACGGGAGGCAGCAGUGGGGAAUAUUGCACAAUGGGCGAAAGCCUGAUGCAGCGACGCCGCGUGAGGGAUGGAGGCCUUCGGGUUGUAAACCUCUUUCGCUCAUGGUCAAGCCGCAACUUAGGGUUGUGGUGAGGGUAGUGGGUAAAGAAGCGCCGGCUAACUACGUGCCAGCAGCCGCGGUAAUACGUAGGGCGCGAGCGUUGUCCGGAAUUAUUGGGCGUAAAGGGCUUGUAGGCGGUUGGUCGCGUCUGCCGUGAAAUCCUCUGGCUUAACUGGGGGCGUGCGGUGGGUACGGGCUGACUUGAGUGCGGUAGGGGAGACUGGAACUCCUGGUGUAGCGGUGGAAUGCGCAGAUAUCAGGAAGAACACCGGUGGCGAAGGCGGGUCUCUGGGCCGUUACUGACGCUGAGGAGCGAAAGCGUGGGGAGCGAACAGGAUUAGAUACCCAGGUAGUCCACGCUGUAAACGUUGGGCACUAGGUGUGGGGGCCACCCGUGGUUUCUGCGCCGUAGCUAACGCUUUAAGUGCCCCGCCUGGGGAGUACGGCCGCAAGGCUAAAACUCAAAGGAAUUGACGGG
RNAcentral lists this ribosomal RNA (802 nucleotides) under uncultured bacterium. RNAcentral's name for it is "bacterial SSU rRNA". It matches the Rfam family "Bacterial small subunit ribosomal RNA", at positions 117 to 917 of the family's 1533-position model. The record is from RNAcentral.